Molecule: ribosomal RNA, 468 nt
Filed under: uncultured bacterium
Lineage: Bacteria
Description: partial 16S ribosomal RNA
Rfam family: Bacterial small subunit ribosomal RNA
Source: RNAcentral
GACGAACGCUGGCGGCGUGCUUAACACAUGCAAGUCGAACGGAAAGGCCCUGCUUUUGUGGGGUUCUCGAGUGGCGAACGGGUGAGUAACACGUGAGUAACCUGCCCUUGACUUUGGGAUAACUUCAGGAAACUGGGGCUAAUACCGGAUAGGAGCUCCUGCUGCAUGGUGGGGGUUGGAAAGUUUCGGCGGUUGUGGAUGGACUCGCGGCUUAUCAGCUUGCUGGUGGGGUAGUGGCUUACCAAGGCUUUGACGGGUAGCCGGCCUGAGAGGGUGACCGGCCACAUUGGGACUGCGAUACGGCCCAGACUCCUACGGGAGGCAGCAGGGGGGAAUAUUGCACAAUGGGCGGAAGCCUGAUGCAGCAACGCCGCGUGCGGGAUGACGGCCUUCGGGUUGUAAACCGCUUUCGCCUGUGACGAAGCGUGAGUGACGGUAAUGGGUAAAGAAGCACCGGCUAACUACGUG